Molecule: unclassified non-coding RNA, 275 nt
Filed under: uncultured fungus
Lineage: Eukaryota; Fungi
Description: partial contains small subunit ribosomal RNA, internal transcribed spacer 1, and 5.8S ribosomal RNA
Rfam family: Eukaryotic small subunit ribosomal RNA (bases 1-73)
Source: RNAcentral
ACAAACUUGGUCAUUUAGAGGAAGUAAAAGUCGUAACAAGGUCUCCGUUGGUGAACCAGCGGAGGGAUCAUUACAGAGUUAUAAGACUCCCAAACCCAAUGUGUACUUACCAGUUUGUUGCCUCGGUCGACCUUACCCCUGGGGGGGUAAUUUUAAGGUAGGCCGAAGGCUUUAUUUAAAUUCUUGAAUAUUAAUCUUCUGAGGAUUUAUUUUUAAAAUAAGUUAAAACUUUCAACAACGGAUCUCUUGGUUCUGGCAUCGAUGAAGAACGCAGC